CCCAGACACUGCAAUAAUUACAUUGCAGGUCUAAGACCACCUCUAGAGACACUUCCUGGUUGCUAACAGACUCUGCAUGAGGACAUCCAGCGUCAAUUAACUCCCCAUAGGAACGCAAUGAAGCAAUGCUUUCCUAUGCAUGUGCCUUAGCCCCUCCCCAUCAGAUGACAUCAGAAGAGGCGUAGCGCAGAUCUCGGCGCUGGAAUCAGG
Pelobates cultripes (western spadefoot toad) is the source of this 210-nucleotide non-coding RNA. The record is from the annotation of a GenBank genome assembly. NCBI's taxonomy places the organism in Eukaryota, Metazoa, Chordata, Amphibia, Anura, Pelobatidae.